ACGAACGCUGGCGGCGUGCUUAACACAUGCACGUCGAACGGAAAGGCCCUGCUUUUGUGGGGUGCUCGAGUGGCGAACGGGUGAGUAACACGUGAGUAACCUGCCCUUGACUUUGGGAUAACUUCAGGAAACUGGGGCUAAUACCGGAUAGGAGCUCCUGCUGCAUGGUGGGGGUUGGAAAGUUUCGGCGGUUGGGGAUGGACUCGCGGCUUAUCAGCUUGUUGGUGGGGUAGUGGCUUACCAAGGCUUUGACGGGUAGCCGGCCUGAGAGGGUGACCGGCCACAUUGGGACUGAGAUACGGCCCAGACUCCUACGGGAGGCAGCAGGGGGGAAUAUUGCACAAUGGGCGGAAGCCUGAUGCAGCAACGCCGCGUGCGGGAUGACGGCCUUCGGGUUGUAAACCGCUUUCGCCUGAGACGAAGCGUGAGUGACGGUAAUGGGUAAAGAAGCACCGGCUAACUACGUG
RNAcentral lists this ribosomal RNA (467 nucleotides) under uncultured bacterium. RNAcentral describes it as "partial 16S ribosomal RNA". It matches the Rfam family "Bacterial small subunit ribosomal RNA", at positions 29 to 507 of the family's 1533-position model. The record is from RNAcentral.